RNAcentral lists this ribosomal RNA (253 nucleotides) under uncultured bacterium. Its description in RNAcentral is "partial 16S ribosomal RNA". It matches the Rfam family "Bacterial small subunit ribosomal RNA", at positions 524 to 776 of the family's 1533-position model. The record is from RNAcentral.
UACAUGGGGUGCAAACGUUGCUCGGAAUUAUUGGGCGUAAAGCGCACGUAGGCGGUUACCUAAGUCGGAUGUGAAAGCCCUCGGCUUAACCGAGGAAGUGCAUCCGAAACUGGGUGGCUAGAGUACGAAAGAGGGUCGCGGAAUUCCCGGUGUAGAGGUGAAAUUCGUAGAUAUCGGGAGGAACACCGGUGGCGAAGGCGGCGACCUGGGUCGAUACUGACGCUGAGGUGCGAAAGCGUGGGGAGCAAACAGG